UGAAUUUGUGUUAAAGCUGUCCAGUCUGUGGCCAGUGGCUGCAGCCACCCCUGGACACUGAGAGUGAACUUGCUGGCUCCAAGGAGUUUCCAACUCCUACUGAAGAACUAAAAAUAUGCAUGGAGCAGCUUCUUGAAAGAAUAAGAAGAAAUCGCUGACCUUAGAGUGGAAAGAAGCAAUACCAGGCUGCUGCUGGAGCACCUGGAGUGCCUGGUUUCCU
RNAcentral lists this long non-coding RNA (220 nucleotides) under Bos indicus x Bos taurus (hybrid cattle). Its description in RNAcentral is "lncRNA (ENSBIXG00005006153.1)". The record is from RNAcentral. Lineage: Eukaryota; Metazoa; Chordata; Mammalia; Artiodactyla; Bovidae.